AACGAACGCUGGCGGCAUGCCUAACACAUGCAAGUCGAACGAGACCUUCGGGUCUAGUGGCGCACGGGUGCGUAACGCGUGGGAAUCUGCCCUGGGGUGCGGAAUAACUCGGAGAAAUCCGUGCUAAUACCGCAUAAUGUCUUCGGACCAAAGAUUUAUCGCCCUGGGAUGAGCCCGCGUAGGAUUAGCUAGUUGGUGGGGUAAAGGCCUACCAAGGCGACGAUCCUUAGCUGGUCUGAGAGGAUGAUCAGCCACACUGGGACUGAGACACGGCCCAGACUCCUACGGGAGGCAGCAGUGGGGAAUCUUAGACAAUGGGCGCAAGCCUGAUCUAGCCAUGCCGCGUGAGCGAUGAAGGCCUUAGGGUUGUAAAGCUCUUUCAGUGGGGAAGAUAAUGACUGUACCCACAGAAGAAGCCCCGGCUAACUCCGUGCCAGCAGCCGCGGUAAUGUACAGUGU
This 459-nucleotide ribosomal RNA is filed under the name uncultured bacterium. RNAcentral's name for it is "bacterial SSU rRNA". It matches the Rfam family "Bacterial small subunit ribosomal RNA", at positions 29 to 533 of the family's 1533-position model. The record is from RNAcentral.